AGCUCAACUGGAUAGAGCAUCGGUCUUCGGAACCGAGGGUCGGGAGUUCGAAUCUCUCGCGGCGCGCCA
RNAcentral lists this transfer RNA (69 nucleotides) under Verrucomicrobiota bacterium. RNAcentral describes it as "Verrucomicrobia bacterium (marine sediment metagenome) tRNA-Arg". It matches the Rfam family "tRNA", at positions 9 to 71 of the family's 71-position model. From Rfam's summary of the family: Transfer RNA (tRNA) molecules are approximately 80 nucleotides in length. The record is from RNAcentral. Lineage: Bacteria; Pseudomonadati; Verrucomicrobiota.